This is a non-coding RNA of Echinostoma caproni, 100 nucleotides long. NCBI's taxonomy places the organism in Eukaryota, Metazoa, Platyhelminthes, Trematoda, Plagiorchiida, Echinostomatidae. The record is from Rfam.
GUCUGGGUGUCAAAGCGGUCCAAGGCGCCAGACUCAAGACAAAUCUUCUGGAUGUUCUGGUCCAUGAAUGUGGGCGUGGGUUCGAGUCCCACCUCUGACG